Molecule: ribosomal RNA, 401 nt
Filed under: bacterium enrichment culture clone ALO1_GLFRUDD03FJV25
Lineage: Bacteria
Description: bacterial SSU rRNA
Rfam family: Bacterial small subunit ribosomal RNA
Source: RNAcentral
GAGUUUGAUCGUGGCUCAGAUUGAACGCUGGCGGCAUGCCUUACACAUGCAAGUCGAACGGCAGCACGGGAGCUUGCUCCUGGUGGCGAGUGGCGAACGGGUGAGUAAUGCAUCGGAACGUAUCCUGGAGUGGGGGAUAACGUAGCGAAAGUUACGCUAAUACCGCAUAUUCUGUGAGCAGGAAAGCGGGGGACCUUCGGGCCUCGCGCUCUUGGAGCGGCCGAUGUCGGAUUAGCUAGUUGGUGAGGUAAAGGCUCACCAAGGCGACGAUCCGUAGCAGGUCUGAGAGGAUGAUCUGCCAUACUGGAACUGAGACACGGUCCAGACUCCUACGGGAGCAGCAGUGGGAAUUUUGGACAAGUGGGGCAACCCUGAUCCAGCCAUGCCGCGUGAGUGAAGAA